UGGCAAGAGGGCGCGCGAGAGAAGACAGCCCUCCAACCUCUGCCGUCUGUGGCGUCACUCUGCUCUGCUCACUCCAUAACGGUGCGCACUCUGCACCUCCUCUGCCCUCCCCGGGCUCAUCCACUCCUCUCUGCGCGCGCGCGUGUGGGUGCCAGCGUUCACGUGUGUGCCCGCUCCUCGGUUCUCGCAACACCCCGACAUCAGAGGAGGGGGGUGGGACUAUCCUGCAAGCGCCCACAUAGGAACGCAGACGAUGCUUCGCUUCACCAGGCGGCUUGGCGAGCAUGUCGCGAUGUCCGCUGGCGUGGGCUCCCCAGUGUACAAGAAGACGUCCAAUUUCUUUUGGCACCGGCGGGUGCACAACUUCCGCCGCCGCGGAUCUUUCGGGAAGCUCGCGACGCUGGCCGGGUACGGGGCUGCCAGCGCUGGCGUGUACGUGGUCACCUGCCUGGUGGUGCGCACGCUUCACCAGCCCACUGUAGACGCGCUCUUCGCACCCGGCAGGGACUACACGCUGGAGGACUGGAAGGAUGUCGAGCCGACGCUGCAGCCCGGGGACAUCAUUCUCAUGCGCGGCACCGGACCUGUGAGCUGGUGCAUCACGACGCUGCAGUUCAUCUUGUCCUUCUUCAAGCCUGCGGCGCUCCGCUACUCUCACGUGGCGGUGGUGGUGGCACCCGCGGUGAUCGAGCACGUUGACGACGACACGAGCGAGACUGGCGUGCCCGCCGCGACCGGGCCUACCGAGGCGAGGGGAGCGGCGUCGCCCUUGAAGGCGUCGGCCUUAUCCACUCCUCCGUACCGGGUGCGCAACCUCAGCGAGGUCUUCGAGAGAGGCACAGAGGGCGCUGAGUCGGCUGCACCGGCACAUGGCUCCCGUGUGCCAGCGUCGCCGACUCGUUGGGUUCGCGAGCAGCUUCGUGCCGAGGAGGCAGCGCUGCAGAGGCGCCCUGUGAUUCGCCGCGGUGCCAUCAUCCUCGAGGCGAUGGACAACAAGGACUACGACGUGGUGGACGUGAAGGGGAACGUGACACACGACACGGUGCAGCUGGUUGAGGCAUCGCGGCGGCUGCUGUCGGUGACGCCGUCGGGUGUGCCGGCCUACCACUACUUUGCCGUUCGCAGGCUGCGCAACUACGACCACACGCCGGAGCGGGAGAGGCGGCUGGCGCGCUUCUGCGAGGAGAGCGAAGGGCGACGCAUGGACUCAAGCCUGCUGUACCCGCUGGCCUUUCUAUGGCCGCGGCUCCACACCCAGGCGCACCCGCUGCGGCAGCUAAUCACGGGCGAGGUUUCCUGCAGCGAGCUGAUUGUGGAGCUGUACCAGGAGCUCGGGGUGCUAAGGCGACGGUGGCGGUGGGUGCCGCUGGAGCCUGGCACCACUGCCCCCGCGCCGCCUCCCUCGAGUGGCGCCACUCGACAAGUGAACGCGAGGAGAGACGAGCAGCACAGCGCCAACAACGGUGAGAACAACGGGAGGGAUGUGGUGACGCCGCCUCCGCCGCCGACUGCGGCGGACAUGAAGGACGAUCGCCGAAGUCGCAGCUUACACGUGUACGACUACGCCUACGGUCGACUCGACGCGCGUGCCCGCCGGCCCGUCAUCACGCGCGAUCGCCCGCUGCUUCCGGACACUUCCGUUGUGGAGAACAGCGAGGCGAUAGCCGCCGCUGACGUACGGCUUCGCUCUAGCAGGGCUCGACUUAAGCCCUCGUGGGAGCAUAUCGAUCGCAUGGAAAAUAUUAAAAACUUUUACGGGCGCACCCUCACUGGCGAUGCCGAGGAGCUCGCCCGUCAGCAGAUGAAGCAGCGGUCGGAGGCGGCGUACCACGUUGAUGCGGCGGUGCCACCGCUUGUACUGCGGGCUGGUGACACGGCCAGGGGCGUCGAUGGCCGCGACUAUCAGCUGCAGUGGUACUACGAGCACAGCAGCGUGGCCACGUGCCCGUACCAUUUCACAGAAGGCGCGGGGGAGUCGGUGCUCGACUUCGCCGCUAAUACGAGUCUUGGCCGUGAGUUGCACAUGCGGAUUGUGCGCGAGGAGGACGAGCUCUCGCGUGCAAUGGAAGAGGAUUAGCCGGCACAGCCAUCUCACACGCGCAUGCGAGCUGGCGCGUGAACGGUCACGACGACACUAACCCGAACGCACAGAG
This 2153-nucleotide unclassified non-coding RNA is filed under the name Leishmania donovani. RNAcentral describes it as "gene:LdHU3.07.0310(CDS-product:hypothetical_prote in_conserved)". Lineage: Eukaryota; Euglenozoa; Kinetoplastea; Trypanosomatida; Trypanosomatidae. The record is from RNAcentral.